CCUCUUGUUGGGACUUUGUCUCAAGAGGUCCGUUCCUUACACAAUCGUCUGAUCCCUUUUUAAUUGUUAGCGACUACCCACGCGAAACAAGUUCGCUGUUGAUCUUUUAACAAAUUUAAUUAUUUUUUCCCUUAUUUUAGUAUAUAUAAUGAAGUAUUUACUGCUCUCAAAAAAUAGAGGAUCCCAACUUAACUAUCCAUUUUAGAAAUCCCCUUUCUUCAUUUAUUCAGUUUCUCUUGUUUAUUAACCAAUUGGACUUGAAGAAUACUGUUUGGGAAAAAACAGAAAAGGCAAAAUGCAAGCCUUGACUUUUGGUUACCCUUUGAAUACAAUGUUAAAGGUUAAGAAUUUGAGCCUUUUGGUCGACCAUUGAAGAUAAAGGUGAAUUUGUGGGUUGAGAUUUGUAAGAUUACUGGGCUAGAAAUACUUUUGGGAGACUGAUGUGUGAUAUAAAGAAUAAAAAGGAAUAUUCAAUGAUGCCAGAGUUUGAGAACAGACCAAUCAGGAAGAGCAGGCAGUUGGGUAGGUUGGAAGGUGAUAGGGAUGAUCGAAGUUGGACUCCUCUUCACGUUUGUGCUUGGAAAGGUGACUUCAAACAGGUUUGGGUAAUUCCGUGGUUUGCUGAAAAGUUUAUUUUCUCUUCUCUCAUAAGAUAAUAACACAAACUUUACAUGCAAGAAGGCUGCUCCAAAUGCAGUGUUCAGUACCACAGUUACUUCUUUGAAAUCUGAAGAUGCAUUUGAUCCAAAUCGUGUUAAAUACGUGGUGGGCAAUUGUGGAUAUGCAAUUUAUUUUCCAUGAGGACUGAUACGAUUCAACAAGUUAGGGCUUCUCUACUUUGCAAUCAGUUUGUGAAAGGUCAAUCUUCAAUUUCUCUACUUGCUUCAUCUGGGAAUUCAGGUAUCUAUUAAAGAAUUGUCGUGCAUUCAUCAUUAAUACGUUCUCCACCAUAAUCCUGUACUGAAAUAUCAACGUUCAGUUUGUAAAGCCUUGCUUUUUUCUCCUCUACAUUGCAUCUCUUAUUGUAUAGAUGGAUUUUGCCUUUUAUUUUCUCAUGAUUGUGCUAGAGUUUCUCAAUUUCUAGUUUAUGGUUUUGAAAUUAGAAGGCCUUGUUUAUGUAGCAAUAGUAAAGUUCAUAUCUUUGGUAAAUUUUCACCUUCAAUUAAGAAACUUAUUGAACUUAAGAAUUAUUUAAAUUUUCUUUUUUUUUUCUUUUUUUUCCAUUUGUAAGGUUUCGCUCAUUCCAUGCACUCAGGCCAACACUAUGUCUCCUUUGUAAAAGGCAAAUGUUUUUUAUUUUAUUCAAUUUACUAAUUCUGCGACGCCUUUCUAUUUUUUUUAGGAAGAUUGGUUAAAUUUUUUUGAAUAAAGUAUUAUGCCGUUAAAUGUCAUAUUGUCGUUCACGGAAGAAAAAUUACGGCUGCCUAGCACUUGUUCCUGACCUCUUGCAGCUAAAUCAAUCUUUUCAUACAUAGAUGGGAAAUUUAUGAGCGUAAGCCAUUUUGGGAUUCAGACUGAUACUCUAUUUGGUCAUAAGGAUUUGAAAGAAUCAAUCUUUCUUUAAGUUGCUGAAUAUCUCCAUUAUUGAUCAAUAGGCGAAUUUCCAACUCCUCGGAAUCCAUAUGAGAUCUUGUUUGAUGUUCAUUCUUUAUUUGAGUUUUCCUUUCUUUUCUAUUUAUAAUCAAGUGAAUACCUUUUCUUAAUUUUAUUGCUUCACUAGCACGCGUUAGCAUACGUCGAAAGAGACAAGUAUUAUGGUGCAAAAGCAGCUAUUAACGUAUGGGAACCUAAAAUACAGCAGCCUAAAGAGUUCAGUUUGUCCCAAAUUGAAGCUGGCUGGUAGGAAUUUUUUUUCUAAAUCUUUGGUUCGACCAUAAUUUGUUGCAUUCCUCUUACUGAUUAGAAUGCACAUUACUUCAGGUUAGCACUGAUCUCUACGGUGAUAAGAACACAGAAUUGUACACAUACUGGACUAUAAGCUUAUUCUUUUGUUGUUUGUUUUCUUUAUAUGCUAAUAAAGCUCCAGGCAAAAUCCUAAUAUCAGUUUGUAAUUAUAGAGUGAUGCAUAUCGAGCCAUCGGUUGCUAUAAUAUACUCUAUUUGGGUUUAUACAAGUCAGCAGUCAAAUAGCAAUGGGUACAAGAAUUUCUCCCGUCUCAUCCUAUCGAAAUUCCCAAUACGAUAUUGCAUUCUUUUGUGGAAGUUUGCAAUGGCUAUGUAUUGGGUUAUUGGCCAUCUUUCUUAUUCUCCUACUUAGUAGACAGUGCUUCCAUGAUAGAUGCGGUGGUGAGGUCAUAAAUUCACAACUCGAUAGGCAGUCCACUUUGACUCAAAUGGGCAGCGGCCGAUUGCCAGAAGAGGGUUUUGGCAAGUCAGGCUAUUUCAAGAAUAUCCAAGUUGUUGACAGUUCCAAAAAUCUUGAGGCUUCUAAAGAACCAUACACUGAACAAUCCAAUUGCUAUGAUAUGCAAACAUGUAGUAAUGGAGAUUGGGGCCAUUACUUUUAUUAUGGAGGCCAUGGUGCACAUAGGGCAUGGAACUUUUGGUGGUGCCAUUUUGGUAAAUAAUAAUUUGGAGGGAGAAAAGUAUAUUCUUAAGAAUAUCUCAUUAGCCCGACAACUGAACGUUGCAGGAGAUCGGCUCAUCAAGAGGUACAUUGAUAUUAUUCAUAAUUUCAUUGAUGUUGUUUUGCUUUUAAUGAUUAUUGAAUUUAUUAAUAUUUUAUUUUGAUGAUUAUUGAGUAAUUUGCCAUCGAAAUUUGUUGGGGUAAUUUGCUUUUGCUUUUUAUUCAGUUGCAUGUGUUUAAAAUUAUAUAUGGGUCUUUUUAGUGAUUUAAGACAUUAUUUUUUCUUGACAGCUCUACAUAAUUUUUUAUGGUUUUUGUUCUGGUUCUUUGGGAAUUCAAAUUAGAAAGAGUUUUUUUUAUUUUUCCUCCCCUUUUUUAACAUCGGACACAAAAUUCUCUCUUUUUUUGGUGGUGGGCUUGGGUGCAUAAGAUGAAAUAGAUUGUGGGGAUUUAUAUGUUUUGUAUGGGGAGGGAUAGUUUAACAUUACCUUUUACGCUUAUAUAUGAUUACUUGGAAUGAGAAAGAACUAAUAAAUAUGCCAAUUUGAUAUCAUAGAAAAGUUCCAAGAGGACGAUAUAGCAAGUUUAUGAUUGGAAGAGGUUGUGAUUCGAUGGUCCAAUUCUAUGUGUCAAAUCAUAAACUUGCUAAAUCGUUACAAUAAAGGAGCAAUAUAGCAUACUUAUAUCAGUUAACCAAGUAGCUUAUUCCUUUUCUUUUUGAUGAAGUAAAUAGUUUCAAAAAUAGCUUAGUGAUCUUACAGAAUUCUCCCAUGGUUUCUGGAUUUCAAUAAGAGGGUAGUUUCUUUAUGCAGCUCGGGUUGAGAAGAUUAAUCAAAGUAGUGAUGGCGAUAAGGUUGUGUUUGCUACAGCGAAUUAAACCGUAUAAGGAAUUAAAUAUACAAUUAGAGUACAUAUACUAUGUAAAUAUUUUUAUAAUGGAUUAUAUUCUUUAGUUUUUUAUUGAAAAGAAUGUUAUUUGCACCAUCUUUCUUAAACUAAUUGGAUGAUAUAAUAUGGAGAGAGGAGGUAAAUUUAAGCAGGACAAGAAAGAUGGUGCAAGUUGCAUUCUCUUGAAUGAACAACUUAUAAAUAAUAUUUACCUUAAUACAAUUGACUUAUGAGUGUCUUCUCUAAUUUUAUGCAUAAUUUCUUCUAUGGUUCAAUCCUAUAUGCCAAAGGUAGCUGAAAGUGCUUAUUCCAAUAUGGGCAAUACUGUUACAAUCAUUAGUUUGCUGCUCAAAGUCCUUUGUAUUAGUAAUCUUUACACAAGAUUCCAAUAGGAAGGUUGGUCAGUGAUGGCAAUUCUUUCUAGAACUAGUCGCUAUCACGUGCAUUACACGAAUUUUGUAUUUAUCGUAUUUUUAUUAGUGUAUGAAUUUUAG
This is a long non-coding RNA of Olea europaea var. sylvestris, 3947 nucleotides long. RefSeq lists it as uncharacterized. Lineage: Eukaryota; Viridiplantae; Streptophyta; Magnoliopsida; Lamiales; Oleaceae. The record is from RefSeq and is a predicted model, not a curated record. The transcript has 6 exons.